RNA transcript from Hordeum vulgare subsp. vulgare (domesticated barley), 1123 nucleotides. It is a transcript of the gene named IQ domain-containing protein IQM6-like, with no coding region annotated. The record is from RefSeq and is a predicted model, not a curated record. The transcript is spliced from 7 exons. Lineage: Eukaryota; Viridiplantae; Streptophyta; Magnoliopsida; Poales; Poaceae.
AGCAGGAAGGAUAAUAAAGUAGAAGUAGUUGUAGCUGUAGCAGGAGCAGUGAGUAGAAUUAGCACUUAGCAGCUGGUAGCAGCAGUGGUGAAAAAGGCUCAUGAUUUCUGAAAUUCCGUUUGUGGCAGGUUGGAUGUAGGUGAAGGAAAAGAGAUUAAUCUUGAGGAACACUGCCCAAGAUGGAAGCUGCUGCAGCAAUGCAUCAGGUAUCUUGGCCCUAGAGAGAGGGAGUUCUAUGAGGUAACAAUCGAGAAUAAGAUGAUGAUGUACAGGCUGAGCCGCAAGAUUGUCGACAAGUCCGAGGGGCCCAAGGAUGCAAAAUGGAUCUUUGUGUUGAGCACAACGAAAAUUCUGUACAUAGGCUCGGUCAGAGAAUAGUGGCAUUUAAAAGCAAAGGGACAUUUCAGCACUCCAGCUUCCUUGCCGGUGGAGCCACAUCUGCUGCCGGGAGAUUAGUCGUCGCGAACGGGAUCCUAAAGGCUGUCUGGCCUGAUAGCGGGCACUACCGGCCCACGGAGGUGAACUUCCGGGAAUUCAUGAAGUAUCUCAGGAAGAGGAACGAUCUCACGGAUGUGAAGUUGAACCCAACAGAAGGCGAGGAGGACGAAUGGCUGAGGAGCUGCCUCUCCUAGAUGGAUCUUUCUGCUGUGGUCCUUCUUCCGCUACUUAUAUAAGGUUUUAAGCUUGGUAUAAGAGGAGCCGCAAUUUCUACAGUCGCAUCCCAGUUCACAUGAUGGCCAUACUUCCAUAGACAUGACAUGUUCUGAUUUUUUUUAUCUUCUCCAAUGCUCAGGGUACUCCAUCUUAUGCACAGUUUAUGUAUGGGGAUGCUGACUCCAAGUUUGCGCCAUCAGUAAAAGGAGUUGCAGCCACUGCUCAUACAACAUGUUACUAUGUUACCUUUUAAAUCUUCACCCCCACAGAACUGAUAGUUGUAGUUACAUUUGCUAAAAUCUGAAGCAUGUGACCUUUUGGAAUAUGCAUCUUUUUUUUGUUCCUAUUUUUUAUUUGUUGGAGGACAACAUGUAUGUACUCAUAUUUUUGGUUCAUCUUUUUUAUGUAUUAAUCAUUUGCAUGGCACAUGAUGCCUAAUAAUAAGAAAAGAGAUAUGUAUUGAUCAUGA